Molecule: long non-coding RNA, 275 nt
Organism: Vicia villosa (hairy vetch)
Lineage: Eukaryota; Viridiplantae; Streptophyta; Magnoliopsida; Fabales; Fabaceae
Exons: 3
Source: RefSeq, a predicted model, not a curated record
CAUUGUCCUAGCAAAAGAUCUCUGAGAGAUGAUCCAUCCUUUGAUGCUAUCAUUCAAGUUUUAUAUCCAAAUAUUGACAAGUCUGAGAAAGAGGAAUUGGCUUCGAUUGAAAAAGAAUUCGAUCUGCCUAAUAAGAAGAAUAAGAAGGCCCGUUGAAAUAUUUAGGUGCAUCACAUGUUGUAGGAUUGCUAAAGGGGUGUUAUUGUGCACUAGUUUACAAUAGCCACACCAUAUUCAACAUUCAAAGGAUGAAAUUAUACUUUUGUGAAGUGGAC